AUUCCAGCUCCAAUAGCGUAUAUUAAAGUUGUUGCGGUUAAAAAGCUCGUAGUUGGAUUUCUGCCGAGGACGACCGGUCCGCCCUCUGGGUGAGUAUCUGGCUCGGCCUGGGCAUCUUCUUGGAGAACGUAUCUGCACUUGACUGUGUGGUGCGGUAUCCAGGACUUUUACUUUGAGGAAAUUAGAGUGUUUCAAGCAGGCUUACGCCUUGAAUACAUUAGCAUGGAAUAAUAAGAUAGGACCUCGGUUCUAUUUUGUUGGUUUCUAGAGCUGAGGUAAUGAUUAAUAGGGAUAGUUGGGGGCAUUCGUAUUUAACUGUCGGAGGUGAAAUUCUUGGAUUUAUGGAAGACAAACUAAUGCGAAAGCAUCUACCAAGGAUGUUUUCAUUA
Molecule: ribosomal RNA, 389 nt
Filed under: Prorocentrum sp.
Lineage: Eukaryota; Dinophyceae; Prorocentrales; Prorocentraceae
Description: partial small subunit ribosomal RNA
Rfam family: Eukaryotic small subunit ribosomal RNA
Source: RNAcentral